GUACUCGAGCGGCGAACGGGUGAGUAACACGUGAGCAACCUGCCCCUGACUCUGGGAUAAGCCCGGGAAACUGGGUCUAAUACCGGAUACGACCGCCCCCGGCAUCGGGUGGUGGUGGAAAGUUUUUCGGUUGGGGAUGGGCUCGCGGCCUAUCAGCUUGUUGGUGGGGUAGUGGCCUACCAAGGCGACGACGGGUAGCCGGCCUGAGAGGGCGACCGGCCACACUGGGACUGAGACACGGCCCAGACUCCUACGGGAGGCAGCAGUGGGGAAUAUUGCGCAAUGGGCGGAAGCCUGACGCAGCGACGCCGCGUGGGGGAUGACGGCCUUCGGGUUGUAAACCUCUUUCAGCAGGGACGAAGUUGACGUGUACCUGCAGAAGAAGCGCCGGCUAACUACGUGCCAGCAGCCGCGGUAAUACGUAGGGCGCAAGCGUUGUCCGGAAUUAUUGGGCGUAAAGAGCUCGUAGGUGGCUUGUCGCGUCGGAUGUGAAAGCCCGCAGCUUAACUGCGGGUCUGCAUUUGAUACGGGCAGGCUAGAGGUAGGUAGGGGAGAACGGAAUUCCUGGUGUAGCGGUGAAAUGCGCAGAUAUCAGGAGGAACACCGGUGGCGAAGGCGGUUCUCUGGGCCUUACCUGACGCUGAGGAGCGAAAGCGUGGGGAGCGAACAGGAUUAGAUACCCUGGUAGUCCACGCUGUAAACGUUGGGCGCUAGGGUGUG
RNAcentral lists this ribosomal RNA (720 nucleotides) under Nonomuraea sp. RNAcentral describes it as "bacterial SSU rRNA". It matches the Rfam family "Bacterial small subunit ribosomal RNA", at positions 87 to 825 of the family's 1533-position model. The record is from RNAcentral. Lineage: Bacteria; Bacillati; Actinomycetota; Actinomycetes; Streptosporangiales; Streptosporangiaceae.